Molecule: transfer RNA, 69 nt
Filed under: Ictidomys tridecemlineatus (thirteen-lined ground squirrel)
Lineage: Eukaryota; Metazoa; Chordata; Mammalia; Rodentia; Sciuridae
Description: Spermophilus tridecemlineatus (thirteen-lined ground squirrel) tRNA
Rfam family: tRNA
About the family: Transfer RNA (tRNA) molecules are approximately 80 nucleotides in length.
Source: Rfam by way of RNAcentral
GGGGUUGUAGCUCAGUGGUGGAGCGCUCACUUAGCAUGUGUGAGACACUGGGUUCGAUUCACAGCACCG